This 70-nucleotide transfer RNA is filed under the name marine eukaryotic metagenome. It matches the Rfam family "tRNA". From Rfam's summary of the family: Transfer RNA (tRNA) molecules are approximately 80 nucleotides in length. Their secondary structure includes four short double-helical elements and three loops (D, anti-codon, and T loops). The record is from RNAcentral.
CGAGGUAGCUCAGUUGGUAGAGCAGUGGACUGAAAAUCCAUGUGUCGCCGGUUCGAUUCCGGCCCUCGGC